AACGAACGCUGGCGGCAUGCCUAACACAUGCAAGUCGAACGAGACCUUCGGGUCUAGUGGCGCACGGGUGCGUAACGCGUGGGAACCUGCCUUUAGGUUCGGAAUAACUCAGAGAAAUUUGAGCUAAUACCGGAUGAUGUCUUCGGACCAAAGAUUUAUCGCCUUUAGAUGGGCCCGCGUUGGAUUAGCUAGUUGGUGGGGUAAAGGCCUACCAAGGCGACGAUCCAUAGCUGGUCUGAGAGGAUGAUCAGCCACACUGGGACUGAGACACGGCCCAGACGAGUGCAGGAUGCAUCAAUGCGGGAUCUUGCACAAUGGGUGAAAGGAUGAACCGCCUUUGAUCCGUGAAUGAAGAAAGCCGUAGGGUGGGAAUACGCCUUUGCCCACGCUGGUCCAGACGGGACAGGAAGAAUAGGCACCGCCUAACUCCAUG
This 433-nucleotide ribosomal RNA is filed under the name uncultured bacterium. Its description in RNAcentral is "partial 16S ribosomal RNA". It matches the Rfam family "Bacterial small subunit ribosomal RNA", at positions 29 to 507 of the family's 1533-position model. The record is from RNAcentral.